Molecule: transfer RNA, 73 nt
Filed under: Sphaerodactylus townsendi
Lineage: Eukaryota; Metazoa; Chordata; Lepidosauria; Squamata; Sphaerodactylidae
Description: tRNA-Thr
Rfam family: tRNA
About the family: Transfer RNA (tRNA) molecules are approximately 80 nucleotides in length.
Source: RNAcentral
GGGGCUGUGGUUCAGUGGUAAAAAUACCUGCUUGGUAUACUGAAGGUCCCAGCUUCAAAACUUGGCAGCUUCA